This 465-nucleotide ribosomal RNA is filed under the name Vreelandella stevensii. RNAcentral describes it as "partial 16S ribosomal RNA". It matches the Rfam family "Bacterial small subunit ribosomal RNA", at positions 338 to 795 of the family's 1533-position model. The record is from RNAcentral. Lineage: Bacteria; Pseudomonadati; Pseudomonadota; Gammaproteobacteria; Oceanospirillales; Halomonadaceae.
CCUACGGGAGGCUGCAGUGGGGAAUAUUGGACAAUGGGGGCAACCCUGAUCCAGCCAUGCCGCGUGUGUGAAGAAGGCCCUCGGGUUGUAAAGCACUUUCAGUGAGGAAGAACGCCUGUUGGUUAAUACCCAUCAGGAAAGACAUCACUCACAGAAGAAGCACCGGCUAACUCCGUGCCAGCAGCCGCGGUAAUACGGAGGGUGCGAGCGUUAAUCGGAAUUACUGGGCGUAAAGCGCGCGUAGGUGGCUUGAUAAGCCGGUUGUGAAAGCCCCGGGCUCAACCUGGGAACGGCAUCCGGAACUGGCAAGCUGGAGUGCAGGAGAGGAAGGUAGAAUUCGCGGUGUAGCGGUGAAAUGCGUAGAGAUCGGGAGGAAUAGCGGUGGCGAAGGCGGCGUUCUGGACUGACACUGACGGUGAGGUGCGAAAGCGUGGGUAGCAAACAGGAUUAGAUACCCGUGUAGUG